AGUGAACGCUGGCGGUAGGCCUAACACAUGCAAGUCGAACGGCAGCACAGUAAGAGCUUGCUCUUACGGGUGGCGGGUGGCGGACGGGUGAGGAAUACAUCGGAAUCUACUUUUUCGUGGGGGAUAACGUAGGGAAACUUACGUUAAUACCGCAUACGACCUACGGGUGAAAGCAGGGGAUCUUCGGACCUUGCGCGAUUGAAUGAGCCGAUGUCGGAUUAGCUAGUUGGCGGGGUAAAGGCCCACCAAGGCGACGAUCCGUAGCUGGUCUGAGAGGAUGAUCAGCCACACUGGAACUGAGACACGGUCCAGACUCCUACGGGAGGCAGCAGUGGGGAAUAUUGGACAAUGGGCGCAAGUCUGAUCCAGCCAUACCGCGUGGGUGAAGAAGGCCUUCGGGUUGUAAAGCCCUUUUGUUGGGAAAGAAAAGCAGCAGGUUAAUACCCCGCUGUUCUGACGGUACCCAAAGAAUAAGCACCGGCUAACUUCGUG
Molecule: ribosomal RNA, 492 nt
Filed under: uncultured bacterium
Lineage: Bacteria
Description: partial 16S ribosomal RNA
Rfam family: Bacterial small subunit ribosomal RNA
Source: RNAcentral